GGAUACCAUGGUAACAAUGUUAUCUGAUUUUUGGAAAUUUUACUGGAGAACUUUAUGAGGAAAACAAAAAAGAAAGGAUUUUUAAGAAAAAAAUGAAAAAGAAACCAGAAGAAUGGUUUCUUUUUAAAUGUAUUCUUUUAUACAUUAUGCGAAAAUUGUGAGAGUUGAGGACUUCCCCAAUUCCCGGCUUGAAACUCCUCCACUGCAGCAGCAUUCAACAACAGGGGAAACGGGAAGAAUCAACAGAAAGAUUUCAGCUCAUACAUACCAGCCAAUGCCAAUCAGAUAUUCAGACUAUUCAGGUUAUAUUGGCUUUUACGGCAAUUUGCGGUAAUAAGUCUAGGGGAUACAAUUAAGUUUUCUCUAUCGCCAAUGAAAAGCAAAGAUCGUUUGUCUACCAAUGUGCCAGGUGUCCCACUUGAUGACAAGAAUGUGAUUAUCAAGGCACUUAACCUUUACAGAAAAAAGACCGGCAGUGACAACUUCUUCUAGGUAAAUGCGUAAUUAAUUGAAUCAUAUGCGGAAAUAGGUAAUGCUUGGCUCAAUACUGUACACAUGAGGUCACAUUUGGCAAUCCAAAUUGUUCACAUGUGGGGCAACAUGGAGGGGUGAUCCUUCAAAAAUCUGACCAUCCAUCAUAUGGGUGGGGAGAU
This is a long non-coding RNA of Magnolia sinica, 653 nucleotides long. RefSeq lists it as uncharacterized. The transcript has 3 exons. NCBI's taxonomy places the organism in Eukaryota, Viridiplantae, Streptophyta, Magnoliopsida, Magnoliales, Magnoliaceae. The record is from RefSeq and is a predicted model, not a curated record.